RNAcentral lists this non-coding RNA (112 nucleotides) under Clostridium sp. RNAcentral describes it as "ZTP sequence". It matches the Rfam family "ZMP/ZTP riboswitch aptamer (pfl RNA motif)". Rfam says of the family: Previously known as pfl RNA. Lineage: Bacteria; Bacillati; Bacillota; Clostridia; Eubacteriales; Clostridiaceae. The record is from RNAcentral. RNAcentral also lists the same sequence under 1 other name.
ACAUAGGUACAUGACUGGCGGAACUGAGUAUAUUCAGGUAGAGAUCACUACAGGGAGUGUACCGGCAGGAUUUUCUGCAAUGGACAUUGAGCCGACCGCCUGGGCAGCAUUU